GACAAACGCUAACGGUGCGCCUAAUACAUGCAAGUCGAACGAGCGAUGUAGAAGUGGCAACACUUUUACAAAGCAAGUGGCGAACGGGUGAGUAACGCGUAGGUAAUCUGCCUUGGAGAUUGGGACAACCAUUCGAAAGAAUGGCUAAUACCAAAACCUUAUAUUAAUCGCAUGAUUUUUAUAAUAAAGGGGGCUUUUAGCUCUCGCUUCAAGAUGAACCUGCGUCCUAUUAGCUAGUUGGUGAGGUAGAAGCUCACCAAGGCAACGAUGGGUAGCCGGCCUGAGAGGGUGAUCGGCCACACUGGGACUGAGAUACGGCCCAGACUCCUACGGGAGGCAGCAGUAGGGAAUCUUGCGCAAUGGGCGAAAGCCUGACGCAGCGACACCGUGUGAAGGAUGAAGGUCUUCGGAUCGUAAACUUCUGUCAAUUGGGGACGAAGGUAAGUAGAGUUAAUACCUCGAAUACUGACGGUACCCAAUAAGGAAGUCUCGGCUAACUCCGUGCCAGCAGCCGCGGUAAGACGGAGGAGGCAAGCGUUGUCCGGAAUCAUUGGGCGUAAAGAGCGCGUAGGCUGUUUUUUAAGUCAUAUGUGAAAACCUCAGGCUUAACUUGAGGACUGCAUAUGAAACUGGAAAACUUGAGUGCAGUAGGGGAAAGUGGAAUUCCUGGUGUAGCGGUGAAAUGCGCAGAUAUCAGGAAGAACACCGGUAGCGAAGGCGGCUUUCUGGGCUGCUACUGACGCUGAGGCGCGAAAGCUAGGGGAGCAAACAGGAUUAGAUACCCUGGUAGUCCUAGCUGUAAACGAUGGACACUAGGUGUGGGGAGUUAUCGACGCUUUCCGUGCCGGAGCUAACGCAUUAAGUGUCCCGCCUGGGGAGACGGUCGCAAGACU
Molecule: ribosomal RNA, 893 nt
Filed under: uncultured bacterium
Lineage: Bacteria
Description: bacterial SSU rRNA
Rfam family: Bacterial small subunit ribosomal RNA
Source: RNAcentral